Molecule: long non-coding RNA, 2064 nt
Filed under: Elaeis guineensis (African oil palm)
Lineage: Eukaryota; Viridiplantae; Streptophyta; Magnoliopsida; Arecales; Arecaceae
Description: long non-coding RNA (EGUI_LNC029189)
Source: RNAcentral
GUAGAUACACAAAUUAAAGAUUGCAGUUGCCGCAUCUUUCUUGCCUCUUGGGCUACCUCGGCGUAGCAGAUCAACAAGUGCAGGUAUUGCGCCAGCUGCCCCAAUUAUCACCUUGUUUUCAUCUACAACUGAUAAACUGAAAAGGGUAGCUGCAGCAUUUUCCUUUGCCUCCAUGCUCCCAUUUUGCAGCACACCUACUAUCCUCGGUAUUGCAUGGGCAUUCACAAUAUUGUCCUUGUUGCUAUCAUUGAUUGAGAGGUUGAGGAGUGCUGUAACUGCAUGCUCCUGUGUUCUAGGAUCCGAAGACGAUAGGAGUUCCACAAGGAAUGGAAUUGCACCUGCUUCAGCAAUGCAUACUCUAUUGUUUGCAUUUCUUUUUGCAAGCAGCCGCAGUUCGCCUGCAGCUGCCCUCUGCUCGUCCUGAUUCCCACUUUUUAAUUUCUGCAGUAGUGAGUUUAUACCAGCACGAUCGCAAUCCGAGUGACGUCCCGGCUUCUUGUCUCGGCAAUUCCCUUGCUUGUUUGGCAGAUCAAUGCCGUUGGCAUCACACCAUUGCGCAAUGAGGCUUCUCAGGACAAAAUUAGGGGUAAGAGCAGUGUUAGACAGGUUUUGCUGUGUCUUGGGGCAAGUUCUGUGUCCAGCAUCAAGCCAUUUCUGGAUGCAAGACCUCUCAUAGGUCUGUGCCAAGCAGAAAGAUACAAAUAACUUAUACAAGACUAUUUAAAAAAAAAAAGAAAAAAAAAUCAUGUUCUUAUAAGAUUUUGAUAAUUAUUACCUGCCCUGUGGAGACAAUGACAGGGUCCUUCAUCAGCUCGAGGGAAAUUGGGCACCGAAAAUCAUCUGGAAUGAUAGGAGAUCUGUGAUUCACAGAGCUUGUAUUAUUUUUGACAGUAUCAGAAGUUGGAUUUUCCACGACUACACAAUCUUUAAGCUUCUUCAGCAAGGAUGACAUUUCGUCCACGCAUUCCUCAGGCUCUCCACCACUAGAAAUUACCAUUUCAUGUAAAGCAACCGAUUCCUUCUUCAUCUCAUUUAUCGUGCUGAGUUGCAACUUCCCUGAAAUUCUUCUAAGGAUAAUAGGGUCACAGUGCUUUUCAGCAAGUGCCCAAUUCAAGUCGCUGAGAAGUUGUAGAUCGGGCGAGUCAAUUUUUCCUUUUGCUCUUCGAAGCUGGGCAUGCACAAGUUCAAUCUGGAAAAUUUUAAAAAGUUAGUAUUCAGCCAUAAUUCUUAAUCAAAUUACCAAAUACAUACCAUAUGAAUGUAGCUGAAAAGUAUACUAGCAGAAAAAAUGUGGGACACAUGCAUGGAUGAUGGUGGGGACAAGUCAAAGAAAGGAAUAUGGCAUAUGGGAUCUUUUGACAUUCGAGAAAACCACAUAUCUGUGCAUAUAACUUUCACAUGUACACAUUGGCUUGCUUGGGUGGGGUGGGGUGGGGAUGGAUGGAGAUGUUGUGUUGUGUCUUACCAAUCUUUUCUUGUUGCCAGUUGUUCUUUUAGACUCAAUGGCUCGCAAGUCUAUCCGGCUGUAUUAGCCCUCUUCAACAAAAUGAAUCAAAACAGUCAAAAGAGAAGGGAAAGCUUCAUUUAUUUAUAUUUGCGUUCGAUUGCUCAACUAAACCCAAAUUGGACCACCACAAAAGGACAAGAAAAAGGCAGUGAUUGGAUGUGCAAAGUUCUUGUCCUUGCUGAAAUACAAAAGGGCAACAUCUAUUGUGGCUAUCCAUAUCUAUAGUCUGCUGCUAGUGCAGGUACAAUAGUUAUUAUUCAUGCCAUCAGCUAUGUGAUAGAAGAAAUUGACUUUCAAAACAUUGCAUAUAAUAUGCAUGUAAUAACUAUAUAAUUUUUUUUUCUCAUUUUCCAUCCAACUUAUCCAAGCAAUAUUUUUUCAGAAUAAGUGAGGCACAGGAAACAUGGAGGGAGGGACAUGUCAUGGCAGUGAGGAAUCAGCUUUUUUUAAAAAAAAAAAAAAAAUCUUUUCUUGAGGAAAGAGGAGGCAGCAACACAAAAUGCAUGUGAUUAAUAAAACUAGACACAUUUUCAUAAGAGUAUUGGUGCUCCAGAUAU